This 67-nucleotide transfer RNA is filed under the name Marmota monax (woodchuck). RNAcentral's name for it is "tRNA.Ala". Lineage: Eukaryota; Metazoa; Chordata; Mammalia; Rodentia; Sciuridae. The record is from RNAcentral.
GGUUGUGGCUCAGUGAUAGAGCAUUCACCUAGCAUGUGCGAGGCCCUGGGUUCAAUCCUCAGCACCA